CCUACGGUGCGCAGCCGUGAGGAAUAUUGGUCAAUGGACGAGAGUCUGAACCAGCCAAGUAGCGUGAAGGAUGACUGCCCUAUGGGUUGUAAACUUCUUUUAUAUGGGAAUAAAAUGGUCCACGUGUGGGAUUUUGUAUGUACCAUAAUAAUAAGGAUCGGCUAACUCCGUGCCAGCAGCCGCGGUAAUACGGAGGCUCCGAGCGUUAUCCUGAUUUAUUUGGUUUAAAGGGCGCGGAGGUGGAUUGUUAAGUCAGUUGUGAAAGUUUGCGGCUCAACAGUCAAAUUUCAGUUGAAACUGGCAGUCUUGAGUACAGUAGAGGUGGGCGGAAUUCGUGGUGUAGCGGUGAAAUGCUUAGAUAUCACGAAGAACUCCGAUUGCGAAGGCAGCUCACUGGACUGCAACUGACACUGAGGCUCGAAAGUGUGGGUAUCAAACAGGAUUAGAUACCCCAGUAGUC
RNAcentral lists this ribosomal RNA (460 nucleotides) under uncultured bacterium. RNAcentral describes it as "partial 16S ribosomal RNA". It matches the Rfam family "Bacterial small subunit ribosomal RNA", at positions 338 to 795 of the family's 1533-position model. The record is from RNAcentral.